GGGGCUAUAAUCUAACUUGGUUAGGAUACGACCCUUGGGAGGUUGAGGUCUGGGUUCAAAUCCCAGUAGCCCCA
Molecule: transfer RNA, 74 nt
Filed under: Candidatus Woesearchaeota archaeon
Lineage: Archaea; Nanobdellati; Candidatus Woesearchaeota
Description: tRNA-Pro
Rfam family: tRNA
About the family: Transfer RNA (tRNA) molecules are approximately 80 nucleotides in length. Their secondary structure includes four short double-helical elements and three loops (D, anti-codon, and T loops).
Source: RNAcentral